AUUGAACGCUGGCGGCAUGCCUUACACAUGCAAGUCGAACGGUAACGCGGGGCAACCUGGCGACGAGUGGCGAACGGGUGAGUAAUGCAUCGGAACGUGCCCAGUAGUGGGGGAGUAGCCCGGCGAAAGCCGGAUUAAUACCGCAUACGACCUACGGGUGAAAGCGGGGGACGUCGCAAGAGCCUCGCGCUAUUGGAGCGGCCGAUGUCAGAUUAGGUAGUUGGUGGGGUAAAAGACCUACCAAGCCGACGAUCUGUAGCUGGUCUGAGAGGACGACCAGCCACACUGGGACUGAGACACGGCCCAGACUCCUACGGGAGGCAGCAGUGGGGGAAUUUUGGACAAUGGGCGCAAGCCUGAUCCAGCCAUGCCGCGUGCGGGAAGAAGGCCUUCGGGUU
RNAcentral lists this ribosomal RNA (398 nucleotides) under uncultured bacterium. RNAcentral's name for it is "bacterial SSU rRNA". It matches the Rfam family "Bacterial small subunit ribosomal RNA", at positions 29 to 424 of the family's 1533-position model. The record is from RNAcentral.